GUAGGUGGCAAGCGUUGUCCGGAAUUAUUGGGCGUAAAGCGCGCGCAGGCGGUUCUUUAAGUCUGAUGUGAAAGCCCACGGGCUCAACCGUGGAGGGUCAUUGGAAACUGGAGAACUUGAGUACAGAAGAGGAAAGCGGAAUUCCACGUGUAGCGGUGAAAUGCGUAGAGAUGUGGAGGAACACCAGUGGCGAAGGCGGCUUUCUGGUCUGUAACCGACGCUGAGGCGCGAAAGCGUGGGGAGCAAACAGGAUUAGACACCCUGGUAGUCCACGCCGUAAACGAUGAGUGCUAAGUGUUAGGGGGUUUCCGCCCCUUAGUGCUGCAGCUAACGCAUUAAGCACUCCGCCUGGGGAGUACGGCCGCAAAGGCUG
RNAcentral lists this ribosomal RNA (373 nucleotides) under uncultured organism. RNAcentral's name for it is "partial 16S ribosomal RNA". It matches the Rfam family "Bacterial small subunit ribosomal RNA", at positions 527 to 896 of the family's 1533-position model. The record is from RNAcentral.